GAUGAACGCUGGCGGCGUGCCUAAUACAUGCAAGUCGAGCGAACAGAUGAGGAGCUUGCUCCUCUGACGUUAGCGGCGGACGGGUGAGUAACACGUGGAUAACCUACCUAUAAGACUGGGAUAACUUCGGGAAACCGGAGCUAAUACCGGAUAAUAUAUUGAACCGCAUGGUUCAAUAGUGAAAGACGGUUUUGCUGUCACUUAUAGAUGGAUCCGCGCCGCAUUAGCUAGUUGGUAAGGUAACGGCUUACCGAGGCAACGAUGCGUAGCCGACCUGAGAGGGUGAUCGGCCACACUGGAACUGAGACACGGUCCAGACUCCUACGGGAGGCAGCAGUAGGGAAUCUUCCGCGAUGGGCGAAAGCCUGACGGAGCAACGCCGCGUGAGUGAUGAAGGUCUUCGGAUCGUAAAACUCUGUUAUUAGGGAAGAACAAAUGUGUAAGUAACUAUGCACGUCUUGACGGUACCUAAUCAGAAAGCCACGGCUAACUACG
This 495-nucleotide ribosomal RNA is filed under the name uncultured bacterium. RNAcentral's name for it is "partial 16S ribosomal RNA". It matches the Rfam family "Bacterial small subunit ribosomal RNA", at positions 28 to 505 of the family's 1533-position model. The record is from RNAcentral.